GAAUCUUGAGAUGGGUUUGUAUUGGUAGGAACAUGUGUUUAUGCUUUAGAGUUUAAUACAUGUGAGAAAUGGUUUUGAAUUAUUUAUUAUGUAAUGAGGUAUAGCUUGAAUUUUGUUCAUGGGAUUCAAAUUGUAAAUGGAAUCAAAGAUUUAAUAUUGUAAAGUGAAUGGAAUUGGUCCUAUAGAUUUGUUUUUGAAAUGUGUAUCAAAGAUAUGUUGGAUUUGAGUGAU
Molecule: long non-coding RNA, 231 nt
Filed under: Lathyrus oleraceus (garden pea)
Lineage: Eukaryota; Viridiplantae; Streptophyta; Magnoliopsida; Fabales; Fabaceae
Description: Pisum sativum (pea) long non-coding RNA (PSAT_LNC005687)
Source: RNAcentral